Molecule: ribosomal RNA, 542 nt
Filed under: uncultured Flavobacterium sp.
Lineage: Bacteria; Pseudomonadati; Bacteroidota; Flavobacteriia; Flavobacteriales; Flavobacteriaceae
Description: bacterial SSU rRNA
Rfam family: Bacterial small subunit ribosomal RNA
Source: RNAcentral
ACGGAGGAUCCAAGCGUUAUCCGGAAUCAUUGGGUUUAAAGGGUCCGUAGGCGGUUUAGUAAGUCAGUGGUGAAAGCCCAUCGCUCAACGGUGGAACGGCCAUUGAUACUGCUAAACUUGAAUUAUUAGGAAGUAACUAGAAUAUGUAGUGUAGCGGUGAAAUGCUUAGAGAUUACAUGGAAUACCAAUUGCGAAGGCAGGUUACUACUAAUGGAUUGACGCUGAUGGACGAAAGCGUGGGUAGCGAACAGGAUUAGAUACCCUGGUAGUCCACGCCGUAAACGAUGGAUACUAGCUGUUGGAAGCAAUUUCAGUGGCUAAGCGAAAGUGAUAAGUAUCCCACCUGGGGAGUACGUUCGCAAGAAUGAAACUCAAAGGAAUUGACGGGGGCCCGCACAAGCGGUGGAGCAUGUGGUUUAAUUCGAUGAUACGCGAGGAACCUUACCAAGGCUUAAAUGUAGAUUGACCGGUUUGGAAACAGACUUUUCGCAAGACAAUUUACAAGGUGCUGCAUGGUUGUCGUCAGCUCGUGCCGUGAGGUG